This 440-nucleotide ribosomal RNA is filed under the name uncultured bacterium. RNAcentral's name for it is "partial 16S ribosomal RNA". It matches the Rfam family "Bacterial small subunit ribosomal RNA", at positions 338 to 795 of the family's 1533-position model. The record is from RNAcentral.
CCUACGGGUGGCAGCAGUGGGGGAUAUUGCACAAUGGGGGAAACCCUGAUGCAGCGACGCCGCGUGGGUGAAGAAGCGCCUCGGCGCGUAAAGCCCUGUCAGCAGGGAAGAAAAUGACGGUACCUGAAGAAGAAGCCCCGGCUAACUACGUGCCAGCAGCCGCGGUAAUACGUAGGGGGCAAGCGUUACCCGGAUUUACUGGGGGUAAAGGGGGCGCAGACGGCGAUGCAAGCCAGGAGUGAAAGCCCGGGGCCCAACCCCGGGACUGCUCGUGGAACUGCGUGGCUAGAGUGCAGGAGGGGCAGGCGGAAGUCCUGGUGUAGCGGUGAAAUGCGUAGAUAUCAGGAGGAACACCGGUGGCGAAGGCGGCCUGCUGGACUGCAACUGACGUUGAGGCCCGAAAGCGUGGGGAGCAAACAGGAUUAGAUACCCUAGUAGUC